CAGAAGACAGGCCUUGAUGUCAGAGGGAGAGAAAUAAAACCAAGUAAUUCAGUGAUGUGUCGGAUGGAAGCAGCAAGAAAGACACGCGGACACUGGAGGUGUUACCUCUCCCUGAGGUUAAAAACCUUCUCCUUUUUUCCUUGACUUCAGUGUGUUCCCAUCUUUGUGCACGCAGAUAGCCCGGCCGCUGAGGAUGCGCUCGUAUGAAACGGCUCCGUGAGCGAUUGCUGAUUCCCGGCGAAGAUAAAGUGCUGGUCUGUCCAGGAGACUGAAAAAUGAGGCCAAGGAGAGCGAUGUCUGUGACCGGGCAGAGAGAUUAGGAAGGUCACCGUGUGCAGGGGGGAGAUCAGAAGCAGGCGCCGCCGCGAUGCUCGCGCCUUCCGAGGAGUUUUAAGGAGGAAUGAAGGACGCCGGAGAAGUGAAAGUCGGCGAGGCCGGGAGAGCGGACGUGCCGCGCAGCGUCUCCUCGGCCCAGCCAGACUGCAGAGGACGGAGGAGGAGUCUUUAUACGCUCCGCUAUCUGAUCGAUUGGGACAUUUGCAAAUGAGCUAAUCUGCGGCUAAUCUUAAUUAUCUCUUCAUUGCCGUAUGGUCAUUUUAAGGACGUGCUUAUCGCUUGCUGGAGAAGUAAUUUGGUUUGCAUAAACAACCUCCGUACAUAUGUCUGUCCACUAUUGAGAUGGCAGUAUGUCCAUGUCUACAGCAGGCUCAGUUCUUAGCUGUGCUGUCCUAAUACUGCUAGUGAGAUAAGAAGAUGGCUGAACCAAGAGGACACUUGGUGCUGAAGUUGGGAGCAGGAAGCCCAUUGUCCACUGUUAUUGAUGUCUCAGCUAGUGUGUGUAUACGAAAGUGUAUUCAUCUGUGCUUGCAUGCAAGAGUGUACAUUUAUAUGUGUUUGGACCUUUAUAUAAGGUGUCUGUGUGUGACUAUGUUAAUGUGUUGUGUGUUUGUGCCUGCGUGCAUGUAUGUACCUUCAUUUGAAUGUAAAUGUGUCUGUAUGCAAAUAAGUUUUGUG
Anguilla anguilla (European eel) is the source of this 1014-nucleotide long non-coding RNA. RefSeq lists it as uncharacterized. The record is from RefSeq and is a predicted model, not a curated record. The transcript is spliced from 3 exons. Lineage: Eukaryota; Metazoa; Chordata; Actinopteri; Anguilliformes; Anguillidae.